Long non-coding RNA from Cyprinus carpio carpio, 979 nucleotides. The record is from Ensembl. NCBI's taxonomy places the organism in Eukaryota, Metazoa, Chordata, Actinopteri, Cypriniformes, Cyprinidae.
CCAAUGCUCUUAAUUUUCUCUGUAAACAAGCACUGGACGGACAUUUUUGAACGUUGCACCGUGUUUAUGACGCCAUGUCAAGUUUAAAAUAAUAGUGUGUCUUUAGCGGAUUGCCACGUUUUCUCACGAUAAAUCUGAGCUACGGUGUGAAAAUAUGGGCAAUGAAUCUGCAUGUUAACCCGGCUAACCUAUCUACAAAGCUCUGCUCAUGAGAAAUUUUCUAACUUACCACGGAUGUUCCUGAGGGAUUUUAUCACGCAUUGACUACAAGAGAAUGCAAAUGGCAUACACAGGCAUGAAUCUGGGACAAGAUGGCCAUGACCUGCAGAGGUCUCCUCUCUGAGCCGGGCGUCUGGGGAUUCAGAAUUCUCCACUGCUGAAGCUUAAUUAGCCCAGCUCUGUUGCCUGGAGAAGUGUUCAGUGCUUGACCUUUCCUAAAGGUAAGCGACCGGUGCGUGUUCAACAGGCCACAGGAAAAUGAGCAGCACCAAGGAGGAUUCUGACAAGCCCAACUAGGAGGGGAGGUGGAGAUGGUGAAGGCAUUUGACAGUGUCUCGUCUAAAGGAUGGACUAAUACUGCAUGAAGACAGACGUUUCUGGCAUGCUGUUCAUUAGGUGAGACAGUGUUGUGACACUCAUAGCCCUCUGAUGGCCUCGCUCGUUCUACAUGCCAGUCUCCGCUCUAAAUGCUGAAACCGCAGCAGGACACAAAACUGUCUCUGACUUGACAGCCGUGACAAGGGGUUGGCCUUAUCAAAUCAAGAUGGAAUGCUAAUUGAGAGGCUUUUUGCAGAAAACUUGUGAUGCAUUUGUAACAAACUGCUUUAGAGGAGAUCACAUCUUUUGUGUGUCAUGCACAAAAUCAGCUACAGCAAUCCUUGCUUCCCCUCGAUACUCCCACUUUUGAACAGAUCUCAGCAGGUAUUUCCGUCCAUUGACAUCUGUGGGAUUUUGGGUAUACUUCAGACUUUUUUCCCCC